UCUUCCUACGGGGCGCAGCAGUAGGGAAUCUUCCACAAUGGGCGAAAGCCUGAUGCAGCAACGCCGCGUGGGUGAAGAAGGUCUUCGGAUCGUAAAACCCUGUUGUUAGAGAAGAAAGUGCGUGAGAGUAACUGUUCACGUUUCGACGGUAUCUAACCAGAAAGCCACGGCUAACUACGUGCCAGCAGCCGCGGUAAUACGUAGGUGGCAAGCGUUAUCCGGAUUUAUUGGGCGUAAAGGGAACGCAGGCGGUCUUGUAAGUCUGAUGUGAAAGGCUUAGGCUUAACCGGAGUAGUG
RNAcentral lists this ribosomal RNA (297 nucleotides) under uncultured bacterium. RNAcentral describes it as "partial 16S ribosomal RNA". It matches the Rfam family "Bacterial small subunit ribosomal RNA", at positions 334 to 623 of the family's 1533-position model. The record is from RNAcentral.